RNAcentral lists this ribosomal RNA (2924 nucleotides) under Escherichia coli. RNAcentral describes it as "bacterial LSU rRNA". It matches the Rfam family "Bacterial large subunit ribosomal RNA". Lineage: Bacteria; Pseudomonadati; Pseudomonadota; Gammaproteobacteria; Enterobacterales; Enterobacteriaceae. The record is from RNAcentral.
GGUUAAGCGACUAAGCGUACACGGUGGAUGCCCUGGCAGUCAGAGGCGAUGAAGGACGUGCUAAUCUGCGAUAAGCGUCGGUGAGGUGAUAUGAACCGUUAUAACCGGCGAUUUCCGAAUGGGGAAACCCAGUGUGUUUCGACACACUAUCAUUAACUGAAUCCAUAGGUUAAUGAGGCGAACCGGGGGAACUGAAACAUCUAAGUACCCCGAGGAAAAGAAAUCAACCGAGAUUCCCCCAGUAGCGGCGAGCGAACGGGGAGGAGCCCAGAGCCUGAAUCAGUGUGUGUGUUAGUGGAAGCGUCUGGAAAGGCGCGCGAUACAGGGUGACAGCCCCGUACACAAAAAUGCACAUGCUGUGAGCUCGAUGAGUAGGGCGGGACACGUGGUAUCCUGUCUGAAUAUGGGGGGACCAUCCUCCAAGGCUAAAUACUCCUGACUGACCGAUAGUGAACCAGUACCGUGAGGGAAAGGCGAAAAGAACCCCGGCGAGGGGAGUGAAAAAGAACCUGAAACCGUGUACGUACAAGCAGUGGGAGCCUCUUAAUGGGGUGACUGCGUACCUUUUGUAUAAUGGGUCAGCGACUUAUAUUCUGUAGCAAGGUUAACCGAAUAGGGGAGCCGAAGGGAAACCGAGUCUUAACUGGGCGUUAAGUUGCAGGGUAUAGACCCGAAACCCGGUGAUCUAGCCAUGGGCAGGUUGAAGGUUGGGUAACACUAACUGGAGGACCGAACCGACUAAUGUUGAAAAAUUAGCGGAUGACUUGUGGCUGGGGGUGAAAGGCCAAUCAAACCGGGAGAUAGCUGGUUCUCCCCGAAAGCUAUUUAGGUAGCGCCUCGUGAAUUCAUCUCCGGGGGUAGAGCACUGUUUCGGCAAGGGGGUCAUCCCGACUUACCAACCCGAUGCAAACUGCGAAUACCGGAGAAUGUUAUCACGGGAGACACACGGCGGGUGCUAACGUCCGUCGUGAAGAGGGAAACAACCCAGACCGCCAGCUAAGGUCCCAAAGUCAUGGUUAAGUGGGAAACGAUGUGGGAAGGCCCAGACAGCCAGGAUGUUGGCUUAGAAGCAGCCAUCAUUUAAAGAAAGCGUAAUAGCUCACUGGUCGAGUCGGCCUGCGCGGAAGAUGUAACGGGGCUAAACCAUGCACCGAAGCUGCGGCAGCGACACUAUGUGUUGUUGGGUAGGGGAGCGUUCUGUAAGCCUGUGAAGGUGGCCUGUGAGGGUUGCUGGAGGUAUCAGAAGUGCGAAUGCUGACAUAAGUAACGAUAAAGCGGGUGAAAAGCCCGCUCGCCGGAAGACCAAGGGUUCCUGUCCAACGUUAAUCGGGGCAGGGUGAGUCGACCCCUAAGGCGAGGCCGAAAGGCGUAGUCGAUGGGAAACAGGUUAAUAUUCCUGUACUUGGUGUUACUGCGAAGGGGGGACGGAGAAGGCUAUGUUGGCCGGGCGACGGUUGUCCCGGUUUAAGCGUGUAGGCUGGUUUUCCAGGCAAAUCCGGAAAACCAAGGCUGAGGCGUGAUGACGAGGCACUACGGUGCUGAAGUGACAAAUGCCCUGCUUCCAGGAAAAGCCUCUAAGCAUCAGGUAACAUCAAAUCGUACCCCAAACCGACACAGGUGGUCAGGUAGAGAAUACCAAGGCGCUUGAGAGAACUCGGGUGAAGGAACUAGGCAAAAUGGUGCCGUAACUUCGGGAGAAGGCACGCUGAUAUGUAGGUGAAGCGACUUGCUCGUGGAGCUGAAAUCAGUCGAAGAUACCAGCUGGCUGCAACUGUUUAUUAAAAACACAGCACUGUGCAAACACGAAAGUGGACGUAUACGGUGUGACGCCUGCCCGGUGCCGGAAGGUUAAUUGAUGGGGUUAGCGGUAACGCGAAGCUCUUGAUCGAAGCCCCGGUAAACGGCGGCCGUAACUAUAACGGUCCUAAGGUAGCGAAAUUCCUUGUCGGGUAAGUUCCGACCUGCACGAAUGGCGUAAUGAUGGCCAGGCUGUCUCCACCCGAGACUCAGUGAAAUUGAACUCGCUGUGAAGAUGCAGUGUACCCGCGGCAAGACGGAAAGACCCCGUGAACCUUUACUAUAGCUUGACACUGAACAUUGAGCCUUGAUGUGUAGGAUAGGUGGGAGGCUUUGAAGUGUGGACGCCAGUCUGCAUGGAGCCGACCUUGAAAUACCACCCUUUAAUGUUUGAUGUUCUAACGUUGGCCCCUAAUCGGGGUUGCGGACAGUGUCUGGUGGGUAGUUUGACUGGGGCGGUCUCCUCCUAAAGAGUAACGGAGGAGCACGAAGGUUGGCUAAUCCUGGUCGGACAUCAGGAGGUUAGUGCAAUGGCAUAAGCCAGCUUGACUGCGAGCGUGACGGCGCGAGCAGGUGCGAAAGCAGGUCAUAGUGAUCCGGUGGUUCUGAAUGGAAGGGCCAUCGCUCAACGGAUAAAAGGUACUCCGGGGAUAACAGGCUGAUACCGCCCAAGAGUUCAUAUCGACGGCGGUGUUUGGCACCUCGAUGUCGGCUCAUCACAUCCUGGGGCUGAAGUAGGUCCCAAGGGUAUGGCUGUUCGCCAUUUAAAGUGGUACGCGAGCUGGGUUUAGAACGUCGUGAGACAGUUCGGUCCCUAUCUGCCGUGGGCGCUGGAGAACUGAGGGGGGCUGCUCCUAGUACGAGAGGACCGGAGUGGACGUAUCACUGGUGUUCGGGUUGUCAUGCCAAUGGCACUGCCCGGUAGCUAAAUGCGGAAGAGAUAAGUGCUGAAAGCAUCUAAGCACGAAACUUGCCCCGAGAUGAGUUCUCCCUGAGACUUAGAGUCUCCUGAAGGAACGUUGAAGACGACGACGUUGAUAGGCCGGGUGUGUAAGCGCAGCGAUGCGUUGAGCUAACCGGUACUAAUGAACCGUGAGGCUUAACCUUACAACGCCGAAGAUGUUUUG